AAGGAAAAAUAAACGGCCUGCUGUAGGUCUCCUGGCUGGCCUGUGGCUGCGCUGAGAUCGAACCGAGUCUUCCGCCACCAUGAUUUACCUCCCAGCAAGGCCGUGGGAGGCAGAGCAAGGCCAGGACCAGAGGAGCGGAGAUGAUAUUGCUGACAUAUAUCAUCCUGGCCAUAGCACGGAGAACAAAUUGGAAAGGGGCAAGAGUGGAGACAGAGAUGGAAGAUGUUGGGGCCUGGAUCUGAGCAACAGUGGUGGACACAGAGAGAAGGGAACAGAUGCCAGAGGUCUUAGCUGGUUUUAAGCUGAAGUUGUCACACUGGAGUUUUCCAAUGUAUGUUUUAUGUGAAGAGUUCUGCGGUUGAAUAAGGUUGGGGAACCCUGCCAGCUUCAGCCCCGUCUGGAAAAGACCAGGUGUAAAUGAGCACCCCAAAGAUUCUGAGAAGGCCUCCAGGAAAGAGGCAUGGUUACCUUUUAUGAACAGAGCAUUUCUCAUGCUGACCUGACUUUUUAUUGUGUAACACUUAUUCACACAGCUUGAAACUAGUGUUAACGAGCGACUUUGGGAAAUGCUAACUUACACAACUUACUGACUUCUGUCUGCAUCACUACAUAUGCAUUUCCCGUCACCAGGGAUGCCUCCUUCUUCCUGUGAGCCAAACUGUCUUCUCUUCACGGGGAUCCACGUUCACCUCUUAAUGAAAUCAUCCCAGAUGACCCAUGACAAGCCACCAAUCUCCAGUUAUUUGAGAAAAUCCCUGGUCUGUCAAGGGCAGCUCUAUAUAACAAUCAGUUAGACGGUAGUCUUUUAAAAGUGUAGAUCACAGAUGUCAUUCCUCUGCUCCGAACCCUGCAAUCAUUUCCCAAAACAUGCAGAAGAAGGUAGAGACUCCUAAGAGCCCAAUGAUCUGUCCCUUCUGCUUCUUCAGCCUAAUUUCCCUCCCCUUCUUACGUCUUUCCGGUCACACUGGCCUUUCCCCAAAGACGCCGAGCUUAUUCCUGCUUCGGGGCCUCUGCACCAGCUCUCACCUUCCCCUGGGAUGCUCUGAGCUCAGAGCCCCACACGGCACACUCCCUCUCCUCGCUCAGGUCUCUCUCACAUACCACCUCCCAGUGAGGUCAUCCUGGACCGCCAGACCUCAAGCCCCGACUUCCUCUAUUGGCUAUUUUCUGACCCCAUACUCUGCUGCUUUUUUGCCAUAGUCUCAUCACUGCUACAUUGUUUUCCAUACUCAUUAAUUAAUAUUUCUUAUCUUCCUCCUCCACCAGAAUGUAAGACCCAAGAGGGAAGGGGAUUUGCUUGCCUUCUUCACCAGUCUAUCCCCGGAGCCUGGAAGAAUGGCUGGAACGUAGUAGGAAUUCAAGAAAUACUUGUUGAAUAAGCGAAUAAAUAAAAAUGUUUAGUCAAGGUUCAAA
This 1413-nucleotide long non-coding RNA is filed under the name Equus caballus (horse). Its description in RNAcentral is "lncRNA (ENSECAG00000033902.3)". Lineage: Eukaryota; Metazoa; Chordata; Mammalia; Perissodactyla; Equidae. The record is from RNAcentral.